CCUACGGGAGGCAGCAGUGAGGAAUAUUGGUCAAUGGACGAGAGUCUGAACCAGCCAAGUAGCGUGAAGGAUGACUGCCCUAUGGGUUGUAAACUUCUUUUAUAUGGGAAUAAAAUGUUCCACGUGUGGGAUUUUGUAUGUACCAUAUGAAUAAGGAUCGGCUAACUCCGUGCCAGCAGCCGCGGUAAUACGGAGGAUCCGAGCGUUAUCCGGAUUUAUUGGGUUUAAAGGGAGCGUAGGUGGAUUGUUAAGUCAGUUGUGAAAGUUUGCGGCUCAACCGUAAAAUUGCAGUUGAAACUGGCAGUCUUGAGUACAGUAGAGGUGAGCGGAAUGCGUGGUGUAGCGGUGAAAUGCUUAGAUAUCACGAAGAACUCCGAUUGCGAAGGCAGUUCACUGGACUGCAACUGACACUGAGGCUCGAAAGUGUGGGUAUCAAACAGGAUUAGAUACCCCUGUAGUC
Molecule: ribosomal RNA, 460 nt
Filed under: uncultured bacterium
Lineage: Bacteria
Description: partial 16S ribosomal RNA
Rfam family: Bacterial small subunit ribosomal RNA
Source: RNAcentral